UUUCGAAAGGAAGAUUAAUACCGCAUAAGAUUGUAGUAUCGCAUGAUAUAGUAAUUAAAGGAGCAAUUCGCUAUAAGAUGGACCCGCGUCGCAUUAGCUAGUUGGUGAGGUAAUGGCUCACCAAGGCGACGAUGCGUAGCCGACCUCGAGAGGGUGAUCGGCCACAUUGGGACUGAGACACGGCCCAGACUCCUACGGGAGGCAGCAUG
This 209-nucleotide ribosomal RNA is filed under the name uncultured bacterium. RNAcentral's name for it is "partial 16S ribosomal RNA". It matches the Rfam family "Bacterial small subunit ribosomal RNA", at positions 149 to 353 of the family's 1533-position model. The record is from RNAcentral.